Diospyros lotus (date-plum) is the source of this 428-nucleotide long non-coding RNA. RefSeq lists it as uncharacterized. NCBI's taxonomy places the organism in Eukaryota, Viridiplantae, Streptophyta, Magnoliopsida, Ericales, Ebenaceae. The record is from RefSeq and is a predicted model, not a curated record. The transcript has 4 exons.
CCCAAGGAAGCUCAUGCAUGUAUCCGCCCCUCCCUUACGUUUUCGGGCCUAUUGCCAAGCCUUUGCAUCUGUUGUCUUGGCUCCAUUCGCCAUCUUCUUUGAGAGCCACCAGUCUGCCUCACUGUCAUUCAACUUGCUCUGCAAGAUCUUCUUCGUUUCUUUAUUUGGGAUCACAGUGAGCUUCAAUAUGAACUCUCUGUCGAUGGACUAAGUGUCGGCGACAUUCACGGUGGCCAUCAGCAACACUAUUCCGGCCACCACCUUCAUCAUGGCUCUCCUCUUAAGUCUAUGUGGAGCUCUGUUGCUGGUUGGAGGGCUCUAUGGCUACCUGUGGGGCAGACAACAAGAAGGGAAAGUUGAGAAGGAAGAAAAAAAGGCUGCAGAAACCACCCAAGAAACUAUGAGAGUGGUUUAAACACAUCAUCAGC